RNAcentral lists this unclassified non-coding RNA (182 nucleotides) under uncultured Basidiomycota. RNAcentral's name for it is "sequence contains ITS2". Lineage: Eukaryota; Fungi; Basidiomycota. The record is from RNAcentral.
AAUUCUCAACCCCUCUUUGCUUUAUUGCAAAGACGUGGGUUGGAUUAUGGCUGCUGUCGAUUUACUUUGACUCAGCUGAAAUAUACAAGCUACCCAGUUGAUGCAACGGUUUGACUUGGCGUGAUAAUUAUUUCGCUGAGGAACGUUAAAUCAGAGUGGUGCUUCUAACACCUGUUAAACAA